GACGAACGCUGGCGGCGUGCCUAAUACAUGCAAGUAGAACGCUGAAGGAGGAGCUUGCUUCUCUGGAUGAGUUGCGAACGGGUGAGUAACGCGUAGGUAACCUGCCUGGUAGCGGGGGAUAACUAUUGGAAACGAUAGCUAAUACCGCAUAAGAGUAGAUGUCGCAUGACAUUUGCUUAAAAGGUGCAAUUGCAUCACUACCAGAUGGACCUGCGUUGUAUUAGCUAGUUGGUGAGGUAACGGCUCACCAAGGCAACGAUACAUAGCCGACCUGAGAGGGUGAUCGGCCACACUGGGACUGAGACACGGCCCAGACUCCUACGGGAGGCAGCAGUAGGGAAUCUUCGGCAAUGGACGGAAGUCUGACCGAGCAACGCCGCGUGAGUGCAGAAGGUUUUCGGAUCGUAAAGCUCUGUUGUAAGAGAAGAACGAGUGUGAGAGUGGAAAGUUCACACUGUGACGGUAUCUUACCAGAAAGGGACGGCUAACUACGUG
RNAcentral lists this ribosomal RNA (495 nucleotides) under uncultured bacterium. RNAcentral describes it as "partial 16S ribosomal RNA". It matches the Rfam family "Bacterial small subunit ribosomal RNA", at positions 28 to 507 of the family's 1533-position model. The record is from RNAcentral.